Molecule: ribosomal RNA, 402 nt
Filed under: Helicobacter pylori
Lineage: Bacteria; Pseudomonadati; Campylobacterota; Epsilonproteobacteria; Campylobacterales; Helicobacteraceae
Description: bacterial LSU rRNA
Rfam family: Bacterial large subunit ribosomal RNA
Source: RNAcentral
UUGGUGGGUUUGUUAAAAAGAAAAAACACAGGCACUUUGCCAACUCGUAAGAGGAAGUAUAAGGUGUGACGCCUGCCCGGUGCUCGAAGGUUAAGAGGAUGCGUCAGUCGCAAGAUGAAGCGUUGAAUUGAAGCCCGAGUAAACGGCGGCCGUAACUAUAACGGUCCUAAGGUAGCGAAAUUCCUUGUCGGUUAAAUACCGACCUGCAUGAAUGGCGUAACGAGAUGGGAGCUGUCUCAACCAGAGAUUCAGUGAAAUUGUAGUGGAGGUGAAAAUUCCUCCUACCCGCGGCAAGACGGGAAGACCCCGUGGACCUUUACUACAACUUAGCACUGCUAACGGGAAUAUCAUGCGCAGGAUAGGUGGGAGGCUUUGAAGUAAGGGCUUUGGCUCUUAUGGAGA